UGGUGUAGUUCUAGGUGAGGUUCACCUGCA
Molecule: non-coding RNA, 30 nt
Filed under: Mus musculus (house mouse)
Lineage: Eukaryota; Metazoa; Chordata; Mammalia; Rodentia; Muridae
Source: RNAcentral